RNAcentral lists this ribosomal RNA (482 nucleotides) under uncultured bacterium. RNAcentral's name for it is "partial 16S ribosomal RNA". It matches the Rfam family "Bacterial small subunit ribosomal RNA", at positions 28 to 507 of the family's 1533-position model. The record is from RNAcentral.
GACGAACGCUGGCGGCGUGCCUAACACAUGCAAGUCGAACGGAACUGUUUUGAAAGCUUUCUUCGGAAUGAAUUUGAUUUAGUUUAGUGGCGGACGGGUGAGUAACGCGUGAGUAACCUGCCUUCAAGAGGGGAAUAACAUUCUGAAAAGAAUGCUAAUACCGCAUGACAUAUCGGAACCACAUGGUUUUGAUAUCAAAGAUUUUAUCGCUUGAAGAUGGACUCGCGUCCGAUUAGUUAGUUGGUGAGGUAACGGCUCACCAAGACCGCGAUCGGUAGCCGGACUGAGAGGUUGAACGGCCACAUUGGGACUGAGACACGGCCCAGACUCCUACGGGAGGCAGCAGUGGGGGAUAUUGCGCAAUGGGGGCAACCCUGACGCAGCAACGCCGCGUGAAGGAUGAAGGUUUUCGGAGUGUAAACUUCUUUUAUUAAGGACGAAAAAUGACGGUACUUAAUGAAUAAGCGCCGGCUAACUACGUG